Molecule: ribosomal RNA, 253 nt
Filed under: uncultured bacterium
Lineage: Bacteria
Description: partial 16S ribosomal RNA
Rfam family: Bacterial small subunit ribosomal RNA
Source: RNAcentral
UACAGAGGGUGCAAGCGUUGUUCGGAAUUAUUGGGCGUAAAGGGAGUGUAGGCGGCUUGUUAAGUCUUCUGUGAAAUCUACGGGCUCAGCCUGUAACGUGCAGAGGAAACUGGCGAACUGGAGUGUGGCAGAGGGGGGUGGAAUUCCGCGUGUAGCAGUGAAAUGCGUAGAGAUGCGGAGGAACACCGAUGGCGAAGGCAGCCCCCUGGGCUGACACUGACGCUCAGGCACGAAAGCGUGGGGAGCAAACAGG